AACGAACGCUGGCGGCAGGCCUAACACAUGCAAGUCGAGCGCGCCCUUCGGGUGAGCGGCGGACGGGUUAGUAACGCGUGGGAAUGUACCCUUCUCUAAGGAAUAGCCUCUGGAAACGGAGAGUAAUACCUUAUACGCCCUUCGGGGGAAAGAUUUAUCGGAGAGGGAUCAGCCCGCGUUAGAUUAGAUAGUUGGUGGGUAACGCCUACCAAGUCUACGAUCUAUAGCUGGUUUUAGAGGAUGAUCAGCAACACUGGGACUGAGACACGGCCCAGACUCCUACGGGAGCAGCAGUGGGGAAUCUUAGACAAUGGGGGCAACCCUGAUCUAGCCAUGCCGCGUGAGUGACGAAGGCCCUAGGGUCGUAAAGCUCUUUCGCCAGGGAUGAUAAUGACAGUACCUGGUAAA
Molecule: ribosomal RNA, 408 nt
Filed under: uncultured bacterium
Lineage: Bacteria
Description: bacterial SSU rRNA
Rfam family: Bacterial small subunit ribosomal RNA
Source: RNAcentral